This is a long non-coding RNA of Acinonyx jubatus (cheetah), 5085 nucleotides long. RefSeq lists it as uncharacterized. NCBI's taxonomy places the organism in Eukaryota, Metazoa, Chordata, Mammalia, Carnivora, Felidae. The transcript has 4 exons. The record is from RefSeq and is a predicted model, not a curated record.
CCGCCCCCACGACUGCACGUCGCCGUGACGCGCAUCGCACGAGGCGGUUCGAACCAAUAAAGUCAGAGCUAGUGCGCAGGCGCGUUGGCCAAAACCGGAAACUGCUCUUCUGACCGCUCUAGAACGUGGUGGCAUCUUGGGAGUUGUGGUUCGGCCAGGAACUCAACGAAAACAGUACUGAGAAAGUGCUCCGCGGGCGCUCACACAAAUCUCCGUUUUCUUUCUCCAAUAGAAAACGGAAGCAUUUAGAUCAGAAGAGGCAGGGGCCCGCCCGGCUAGGGGACGCUUUUUCCGGUCUCUAUGGAUACGGGCUACACACCUUGGGCGGAAGCCAAAAUUUUGGGAUUUUUAGGGUGGCUCGUGUUUCUGCCAACGGCCAGUAUAUUGCUAGGCGUCGUCUGUGAGAGCUUCCGAAAUAAAUCCGAAAGUAUUAGCCAAGUCUUGUGCAAGACAAUAGCGUUUAUCUUUUAUUACCUUGUUAAGGUAUUAUGAUUUAUGCCUUCUAAAAAACAAAUGUGAACCCACUCACUCUUAAAAUACAUGUAAUUCGGACUAAUUUGUAAAAUGUUUUUAACGUAAUAGCAGAUCACUAUAGCAGAAAUGUAAUAGCAGAAACUAAUCUGGCAUUAAAUACUGUGUCUAUUUCCCAGAAUGAGUUUCUAUUGAGCUCUAACUUCUAAGAAACCAAGAAUGGUUUGGUUACAUACUUAUUCUAUAAGAAAAGAAAGUAAAAGCUCCCCACCCCCCAGCCAAAAGUUCGCUUUUUCACUAACCGGAAGAAUUAAAAAAAAAAAAAAAAGGUUUUCGCUUUUCCGAAAUGGUAAUUGUUUCUUUGUUUUUCGCCUUGGCUUUGGAAAGGCUUCAGUGAGAACACUGUACUUUCGGAUAGCCAGGUGAAAUCGGUUGGCAUAGAAAAAUGUGUUUCUCACGUUCAGUUAUAAGAUGAAUUUAUCACACUCUGAAGAGGUAAUUGCCUUAACUGUCAAAACUCUUGUUAUUGAUAUAGAGGAAAUCCGUAAGCUUUCAAGAACACUUAUGCCCAUACUUUGCUUGUCCUUCCCUGAACCACAGCAGGAGAAAACAAAGAAUUCUGGAAAAACCUGCACAGAUCUCAUAACCAAAAGGCCUAGAGUCUAAUGUAUGAGGAACCCGCCCCUAAAAAAAAUAGGGAACUCUUCAAGCCUGGAAAUGUAAAUUCUAAGAAGUGAUUAAAGUCACUAAAAUCACGAGGAGCAUGAAUAAAAUGCUCUUAAUACAAUAAAUUAGGCCACCCAGUUAAGGUUGCAAGAGAUAAAAUUAAUGCAAAUAAGAUUAUAGAAAUUAAAAGAAUAAAUUCCCUUCAAGGAGUAGUUUACACUGAAAAUGUAAAUUUUUUAAAUUUACAUAUUUUUUAAUUUACAUAAUUUGUAAAAGAUAUAACAGUAAUGACCUGUUUUUCCAGGUAAAGACAUAAAGCUUUUGAGAUUGAUAUCAAGGAAGACAUUGAUACACUUCCACAGCACAUUAGAAAUGAAACACAGACACCUUUGGAUGGCAAAUUUGACCCGGUAUACCAAAUCACAUAGGGAAAAGAUGAGAAGAACAAGAGCCUGAGAGUUAAUAAAAGGUCUGCUAAAGGGAACAGAGCUAUAUAAAAAAGACAAUUAGAAAAGAUCCAAGUUCUCAAAUAUUUUCUCAAAGCAUUCUUCUCUUUUAAUGAUUUGCUUUGACAAAAUGCUCAACUCAAAGAAACUUUCUCUGGAACAGUCCAUUGUGUGCUAAAACGUGAGAAAGAGUGUUAUUUUCCCACCAAGAUUUUACCUCCCAUUCUCUGUCACCUUGAUCUCAUUCCCAGAUCACUACUGCCAAUUCUUGAUGUUCACAAUGAUAAACCACUUCAUUUCCUCAGAAUGCUCACACCUUCUCAGCUAUUGAGGGUGUUGCCAACAUACUUCACCUGAGGGACAUUCCCCUGAGGCCCAUGUCCAUACUGGCUUCACCCAUAUCCCUUACCUAAAUGUCACCAUUAAAUGUUCCAAAGCAGAUUUCUCAGGACUCUCUCCCAGGCUGUACUUCAGUUGCUAAUCUUUAUAUAUUAACUUAUGACUCGCUGUCCAAAAACCAAGGAGAAUUCAGGACAAUUCUGUGUCUUCAGUGUCAGCUGUGGAUCUUUAGAAUCUCUGCUGUCUCCAUUCUUAAAGUGUCACACUUCCCCACCACAGGAGAGUGGAGUUCUUCAUCUUCCACAGCACCAAGAAGAGUCCCUUCCACCCCUACUCUCCAUACCAGUCACCAAUGACACAAUAGUGCCUGUGGCACAGCUAGUCUGAUGUAGUCAUCUCAACAAUUAUCAGAUAUUGUUGACAAAGAGAAUGCAUCACUGGGUGAGUAACGUUCAUAAUCUAGUUGUAGCCAUCCCAGAAUGAGGCUUGAGUGACAUUACAAUAUGUUGCCAAAAUGUUGAUAUUGGACUCGUUGGAGGAGCAGGCUUAGGUUCCAUUGUGAUAUGUGAGUCAAUAGCCAAUGGGAAUUGAAGUUGUAUCUAAAAUGACAAGCAAAUGAAGGUACAGCUUUCAAAUUCUAAAGGCAUGUAGGCUCUGUUGCCAAAGUCAAGAUGGCUGUUAACUGUUCCUGUCUCACUUUCCCCAAGCUCAGCAGUCCGAAUGGAUAGAGAACAUCUUUCCAGUUAAUGACCCUCUCAGGAAAGACCAAAGUUGACACAGGAAAGAACGGUGGAUUUCCGGGUAUACAAAAGACUAAAGAAAUCCAGAAAUUUCUUCUUUGUGAAGAAGAAUUAAGUCCUGGCAUAGAGACUGGACAGCUGGAAGAGCACUUGGGGAACGGAAGUUCAGAAGCUCAGCUCAUGGUUUUGUCUCUUUGCCAUCAGACAUUUUUAGAGCCCUUGUGAAUUGUAAAGACCACUAUUAUUCAAAACCUCAGACUCCUAAUACCUGGGAAAGGCAAUGGAAAGAGAGUUUUCCUUUGGGUAAAUACAGGGGAAGCAGCGGAGAAGAGAAUGGCCUCCGAGGCCCCUUCCUGAGGACUGGCCAGAUUUCCACCCUGCUGGUAGGGAAAGGACAUUUCUGCCAGGAGACUUGGCUGCCUUUUGACUGGAAAGGAAAUUCCUGGAGAGAGACUUUACUGUUCCAAGGCUUUUGAGAUACAAGGGAAUCCCAGUAACCAAGGAUCAUGGGGAAGGCCAGAAAGCUGAUGCAUCCAGUCCUGAGAGCUCAGGCCAUCUCCUCAGAAGGAAGAGAUGCUGCUCUGGCCUUGGGGGAUGAAGGCCAGCACAGGGACUGACUCAUAAACCCGAGAACUGUGUGACUCCCCUUCCCACCCCUGCUCUCCCACCAGCCAAUCCCCAUUCUUUCCUCUGUUCAUAGACCCUGUAGGUCCAUAGAAGAGCAAGCAAUGAGCAACUUGACUUGUCCCCUUCCCCUCAGACCUGUCCUUAAUAAUUGAAAGGAAGGGUAUUUUUUUCUUCUAAAGCUCCACAUUAAGGCUGGUACAGUUCCUCCUCUCCCUCUUAGCACUUGGGAUUUGACACAUGAAACCUACCCAUUGUUCAUCUGUACGGCUCAUCCCCUUUCCAUGAAGAGUCCAUCUCACCGCCUCCUGCCAGCUUGGUGCUUUCUUCAAGGGCCACAAUGUCUCACCUAGCCUGAGGGCUCAAGUCCUAAUGCUGUGUUACUUACAUUGCCAGAACAAAUUAAGAUUCGCAAAGAAAAAAAAAAACUGGGGUGCCUGGCUGGCUCAGUCGGUACAACACAUGACUUGAUCUCAGGGUUGUGAGUUGAAGCCCCAUGUCAGGCAUGGAGCUUAUUUAAAAAAAAAAAAAAAAGCCACUUCUCUUGUGUACAAUGACCCCACCACAAAGGCAGCUCUGUAAUUCAUACUGUGAGUUGCCUAGUUGGUUGCACUGUCCUAGACAUGUAACUCCCCAAGUUCAGCAAUACACAGCUCUCUUUUUGCUUCAACACGUACAUAAAUAUACUCUGGUCAUUUUGUGCCUGAUUUCCUGUAAUUGGCUCUGUAUGCUUUGUCCUCUUACUUUAUCUUUUCAAUUUUUUUAAAAGAUUUUAUUUUUCAAUACUCCCUGCACCCGACAUGGGACUCAAACUCACAACCCUGAGAUCAAAAGAGAUCAAGAGUCACAUGCUCUACCAACUGAGCUGGCCAGGCACCCCCGUCCUUUGACUUUAGAUUUGAGAUCACCAAGUUCCUUCCACCGUGUGCCCCAUCAAAAGAAAUUUCCUCAGUCGCUCUUCUCAUCCAAAAUUCAUGCUGGCUAGAUGAGGAAGAUUACUGUACACACCUUGAGACUUAAAAGGAAAUAGGCACCUCUUAUUUCAGGUGACUAGAUGCUAUAAUUACCCAGAAACCCACUAAGGAACCAGAAAGAGCUCCAGUGUCAGCAUCAAUUAUUAGCUGUGUGAGUCAAAUGAUAUUACAUAGCCUCUCUGAGUCUUAGUUUUGCCAUCUGUCACAUGUGGAUAAUAAUGCCUAGCUUACAGAGGUACUGAGAGAAUUAUGUGUAAUAUAUAUAAAGCAGCCAGUAUACAGUAAGCACUAGAUAAUUGGUAGCUAUAAUUAUUCCCCACGUCUAUAAUGAUAACCUUCAAGCAAAGCAUGCAAAGUAUUUCGCAGCAUAGAAACUACUUAAGAGCAAGGAAUAAACUUUGGCUAAAGGCAUGCCCAGUAUGCAGCCACUUCCCUGACCCACACUCCAUUGUCAUCACUCAAGUUCAGUGGCCCAGCCAAGCAGGACUAGGCAUUGUCCUCAUGGUUUCCUUCUCCCUCCCUCAAUGGUUGCUUGAUUUAAUUUUUUUUUUACCAGUGGGGAAGAGGGGCAGAGGGAGAGAGAGAAAGAGAAUCCCAAGCAGCUACAUGCUCAGCACAGAGCCCAACAUGGGGCUUGAUCCCACAAGCCUGUGAUCAUGACCUGAGCCAAAACCAAGAGGUGGACAUUCAACCAACUGAGCCACCCAGACAGCCCGGUUGCUUGAUUUUUUAAUCUCAUGGUUUCCUUAACUCUAUUACUUUCCACACUCAUCUCUAAAAAUAAGUAAAAUAACACCUCUUUCCAAAUUGGUUCAAACAAAUAAA